GGUGGGGUGGCUGAGCGGCUGAAAGCGAUAGUUUUGAAAACUAUUAUACCCGAAAGGGUAUCGUGAGUUCGAAUCUCACCCCCACCGCCA
This 90-nucleotide transfer RNA is filed under the name Candidatus Nealsoniibacteriota bacterium. Its description in RNAcentral is "Candidatus Nealsonbacteria bacterium tRNA-Ser". It matches the Rfam family "tRNA". From Rfam's summary of the family: Transfer RNA (tRNA) molecules are approximately 80 nucleotides in length. Their secondary structure includes four short double-helical elements and three loops (D, anti-codon, and T loops). The record is from RNAcentral. Lineage: Bacteria; Candidatus Nealsoniibacteriota.